GACGAACGCUGGCGGCGUGCUUAACACAUGCAAGUCGAACGGAAAGGCCCUGCUUUUGUGGGGUGCUCGAGUGGCGAACGGGUGAGUAACACGUGAGUAACCUGCCCUUGACUUUGGGAUAACUUCAGGAAACUGGGGCUAAUACCGGAUAGGAGCUCCUGCUGCAUGGUGGGGGUUGGAAAGUUUCGGCGGUUGGGGAUGGACUCGCGGCUUAUCAGCUUGUUGGUGGGGUAGUGGCUUACCAAGGCUUUGACGGGUAGCCGGCCUGAGAGGGUGACCGGGCACCUGGGGCCUGCGAUAGGGACCAGACUCCUACGGGAGGCAGAAGUGGGGAAUAUUGCCCAAUGGGCGGAAGCCUGAUGCAGCAACGCCGCGUGCGGGAUGACGGCCUUCGGGUUGUAAACCGCUUUCGCCUGUGACGAAGCGUGAGUGACGGUAAUGGGUAAAGAAGCACCGGCUAACUACGUG
Molecule: ribosomal RNA, 468 nt
Filed under: uncultured bacterium
Lineage: Bacteria
Description: partial 16S ribosomal RNA
Rfam family: Bacterial small subunit ribosomal RNA
Source: RNAcentral